UACGGGGGGAGCAAGCGUUGUUCGGAAUCACUGGGCGUAAAGGGAGUCUAGGCGGUUUGGUAAGUGGGAUGUGAAAUCCCUCAGCUUAACUGGGGAACUGCGUCCGAUACUGGAUGGCUUGAGUUUGGGAGAGGGAUGCGGAAUUCCAGGUGUAGCGGUGAAAUGCGUAGAUAUCUGGAGGAACACCGGUGGCGAAGGCGGCAUCCUGGACCAACACUGACACUGAGGAGCGAAAGCCAGGGGAGCAAACGGG
RNAcentral lists this ribosomal RNA (253 nucleotides) under uncultured bacterium. Its description in RNAcentral is "partial 16S ribosomal RNA". It matches the Rfam family "Bacterial small subunit ribosomal RNA", at positions 524 to 776 of the family's 1533-position model. The record is from RNAcentral.